Molecule: ribosomal RNA, 501 nt
Filed under: uncultured bacterium
Lineage: Bacteria
Description: partial 16S ribosomal RNA
Rfam family: Bacterial small subunit ribosomal RNA
Source: RNAcentral
AUUGAACGCUGGCGGCAGGCUUAACACAUGCAAGUCGAGCGGAGAGAGGUAGCUUGCUACUGAUCUUAGCGGCGGACGGGUGAGUAAUGCUUAGGAAUCUGCCUAUUAGUGGGGGACAACAUUUCGAAAGGAAUGCUAAUACCGCAUACGUCCUACGGGAGAAAGCAGGGGAUCUUCGGACCUUGCGCUAAUAGAUGAGCGUAAGUCGGAUUAGCUAGUUGGUGGGGUAAAGGCCUACCAAGGCGACGAUCUGUAGCGGGUCAGAGAGGAGGAGCAGCCACACUGGGCCUGAGACACGGUCCAGACUCAUACGGGAGGCAGCAGUGGGGAAUAUUGGACAAUGGGCGCAAGCCUGAUCCUGCCAGACCGCGUGUGUGAAGGAGGCCUUAUGGUUGUAAAGCACUUUAAGCGAGGAGGAGGCUACUUUAGUUAAUACCUAGAGAUAGUGGACGUUACUCGCAGAAUAAGCACCGGCUAACUCUGUGCCAGCAGCCGCCGUAA